RNAcentral lists this transfer RNA (73 nucleotides) under Stegodyphus mimosarum. It matches the Rfam family "tRNA". Rfam says of the family: Transfer RNA (tRNA) molecules are approximately 80 nucleotides in length. Their secondary structure includes four short double-helical elements and three loops (D, anti-codon, and T loops). The record is from Rfam by way of RNAcentral. Lineage: Eukaryota; Metazoa; Arthropoda; Arachnida; Araneae; Eresidae.
GCUUUCGUAGUGUAACGGUUAGCACACUCGGCGCGUAAUGGCAGAGGUCCAAGUUCGAGUCUCGGCGACAGCA